AACGAACGCUGGCGGCAGGCCUAACACAUGCAAGUCGAGCGAGGACUUCGGUCCUAGCGGCGGACGGGUGGGUAACGCGGGGGAACGUGCCCUUUGCUUCGGAAUAGCCCUGGGAAACUUGGAGUAAUACCGGAUGAGCCCAUUGGGGGAAAGAUGUCUUGGCGAAGGCUCGGCCCGCGUUGGAUUAGGUGGUUGGUGGGGUAAUGGCCUACCAAGCCGAUGAUCCAUGGCUGGUUUGUGAGGAUGAUCAGCCGCGCUGGGCCUGAGACACGGCCCAGACUCCUACGGGAGGGAGCAGUGGGGAAUCUUAGGCGAGGGGGGAUACCCUGAUCAAGCCGUGCCGCGUAAGCGAUGAAGGCCUUAGGGUUGUAAAGCUCUUUCAGCUGGGAAGAUAGUGACGGUACCAGCAGAAGAAGCACCGGCUAACUCCGUG
This 433-nucleotide ribosomal RNA is filed under the name uncultured bacterium. RNAcentral's name for it is "partial 16S ribosomal RNA". It matches the Rfam family "Bacterial small subunit ribosomal RNA", at positions 28 to 507 of the family's 1533-position model. The record is from RNAcentral.